GUGCUCGCUUUGGCAGCAUAUAUACUAAAAUUGGCACGGUACAGAGAAGAUUAGCAUCUAAAAGUUGAAAAAAAAAAAGAAAAAGAGUUUCAGAGUCUC
Molecule: small nuclear RNA, 99 nt
Filed under: Microcebus murinus (gray mouse lemur)
Lineage: Eukaryota; Metazoa; Chordata; Mammalia; Primates; Cheirogaleidae
Source: RNAcentral